GAAUUCUGGACCCAAACUUCUGGAUAUCAUGAAGUAAGAUCCUCCAGCUGGUACAACGCCAUUAGUCGCGAUGGCACUCAUACUGAUAGCUGUCAGCAUCGUCUAUGUAUACAGAGAAAUAUUUUUUGCUUAGAAUAAUCAAGUUCGACCAUAAAUGACUCAAUUUAUUACACGGUUAAUCACGAGAUUAAUCUUUAAUUCGUGUCGUUAUUAAUCUCUACACCCAUCAAUCAAUAUUGAUUGGAUCAAUUCAUAUCCAUUAUUGAAUUAUUGAAACUUCACUUACCACGCAACAACAACACAACACAAUGAAGAAACCCUGAAAAGCUCCAGCGGUGCCAACGACCCAGGUCAAACGAAUGAAUAGAAUCACACCAAAGAUGUUUUGGAUGCAAGGCAGAAAGACACCGAUCAAAGUACCCAUUCGUGCACCACCUUGCACGGGUGGAGGUUUCGCAUCCGGGUCGGUCGCAGCUGGAAUCGUGUUGCUGUAGUCCGACAGGCUGUUGAGCAGCGUGGAAAUUCGAGGACGAACUUCCAUCUCUUCCUGAAACCAUGAAAAUCGACUUAUUGCACUGUGUUGACGGCCAACAAUCCUUUAUUAAUUAUAUAAUUUAUUAUUACAAUUAUUAUAAUUAUAUAAAUUAAUUAAUUCAUUAUUCUUAGAUAGUAAUAUCAUAAAUAACAAUAAGUGUAAUGAUAUGAUGUGCUCAUAAUCAAAUCCUUUAGAUUUAAUUUUA
Long non-coding RNA from Apis cerana (Asiatic honeybee), 740 nucleotides. RefSeq lists it as uncharacterized. Lineage: Eukaryota; Metazoa; Arthropoda; Insecta; Hymenoptera; Apidae. The record is from RefSeq and is a predicted model, not a curated record.